This 254-nucleotide ribosomal RNA is filed under the name uncultured bacterium. RNAcentral describes it as "partial 16S ribosomal RNA". It matches the Rfam family "Bacterial small subunit ribosomal RNA", at positions 524 to 776 of the family's 1533-position model. The record is from RNAcentral.
UACGUAGGGGGCAAGCGUUGUCCGGAUUUAUUGGGCGUAAAGAGCGUGUAGGCGGCCAGGUAGGUCAGCUGUGAAAACCCGAGGCUCAACCUCGAGACGCCGGUUGAAACCAUCUGGCUAGAGUCCGGAAGAGGGGAGUGGAAUUCCUGGUGUAGCGGUGAAAUGCGCAGAUAUCAGGAAGAACACCCGUGGCUAAGGCGGCUCUCUAGUAGCGGUACUGACGCUGAGACGCGAAAGCGUGGGGAGCGAACAGG